This 321-nucleotide ribosomal RNA is filed under the name uncultured eukaryote. RNAcentral's name for it is "partial 18S ribosomal RNA". It matches the Rfam family "Eukaryotic small subunit ribosomal RNA", at positions 1470 to 1796 of the family's 1831-position model. The record is from RNAcentral.
CCCUUAGAUGUCCUGGGCCGCACGCGCGCUACACUGACAUGUUCAACAAGCCUCCUAGUUCGACAGGAUUUGGGAAAUCUUUGAACGCAUGUCGUGAUAGGGAUAGAUCAUUGCAAUUAUUGAUCUUGAACGAGGAAUUCCUAGUAAACGCGAGUCAUCAGCUCGCAUUGAUUACGACCCUGCCCUUUGUACACACCGCCCGUCGCACCUACCGAUUGAAUGUUUCGGUGAAGAUUCCGGAUAGGACUUUUUUGAUUUAUUUCAAUUUUGUCUUAAAAGCUAUCUAAACCUCAACAUUUAGAGGAAGGUGAAGUCGUAACA